Non-coding RNA from Aegilops tauschii subsp. strangulata, 3169 nucleotides. The record is from RefSeq and is a predicted model, not a curated record. NCBI's taxonomy places the organism in Eukaryota, Viridiplantae, Streptophyta, Magnoliopsida, Poales, Poaceae.
GCUACAAUGUAGUUUAUAAAUUUGUUCCUUGAGACUGAAUUUAAAAUUAGGACAUUCCUUAACCUUAGUAUUUUGCUCGAUAGCUCUUCUUCAAAAACUUGUUUGGUGAAUUGUAUGCUACACAAUUAGAUUUUGUUAUGAUUUCUGUUUUUUUUGCUAUGAUUUUUUGUGACCUUAAUGGAUGUACUGUUGGAUAUAAAUAUUGCUAAGUAUGUUAUUUUGAGAAACCAAAUUUUUUUUUCUUGAGAUAAAAAUUAAGAAUAUUAUCAUAUAUCCCUAAACUUACUACUUUGCUCGAUCAAUUCUAGAACUCCUUCGAAAACUCCUUAGGUAAAUUGUAUACUAAACAAUUAGAUUUUGCUAUCAUCUGUAUUUUCUUUUUAUGAGUUUCAUUUUGUGUAAUAUAUUCCUUUUUUUCGGAAUUACUUGACGCUGAACUGGAUGUAUUUAGACAGUAGUUUAUUUGUAGGGAGUUCUGAUGUCCAUUUAGAAUAGAAUUGCCAGGAAGAUAAAAAUAAUUAUCCUGAUUUUCGUUACUUUUUUUGUUAGUUACUACUAAAAUUGAUCCCAUAUAGUCAACUGAAAUAGAAAUUGUAUUUUCUGUAGUGAGUUACACUGUGGCUGAUGUCCAUUUAGAUGUGCGCAUUUUUAUUAGUCACAGAUUUUUGGUAGCAUGAGCGGCGGGUUUCGGCGGCCGCGGUCGGCGCUGCCGUCGUGUGUAGUGCCCCUCUGACCGGCACCAUGAGAGCGGAUUCGCCGGUGGAUCUCAUGGACAGUGCGUGCAUCAUUAACCUUUUAUAGUCCUCCGUGGCGAAUCGCAUCAUACCGCCGGCUGGAGCGCCGGCCAUCUGGCCGUUCCCCUUUGCGGUGUGGUACGCCGUCUCGGCCGAAGCUGCAAUCUCCUCCGGCGCCCGCGUUGCUGAGCGGAGUUUCCUCAUGCAGAAGCAGCGCCGGCAACUCCUAUCCAUCUACCAAAGAAAGUGGCAUUAUCUUAUCCAUUCAGUAUGCAUCUUUUCGUAUUUACUGUGCGUUUGCACGAACAGGUGUGUAUCUCCCUUUGCCUUACCAUCUCCUCUGUGUAUUAAAUAAAUUUGAGCAGCGUAUGUUUGCAUCUUACGAUAAAGUGUACUUGGGAGACGAUGGUAGAGGAGCCAUCAAUGAAAUUGCUGGCAGAUGCAGCUACGAAAUUACUUGUUCUAGUAUUUUCUAUUAUUUGUGAAAUUGGAUAUGAUUGGUAGGCUAUGUAAGAAAAAAAGUUAUAGUAAUUGAGAAAAUGAUCUUGGUUCUUCAAUGGCUCUGUAACUUUAGAGCCACGUCCCUAAUGAUUACAUAUAUAACUGGUAUUGAUCUUGUCAAAUCAGUUGUUAGCCCUUGCUCGCAUAUUUUUGUUUACCUGUAAAUGCAGAGAGAAGUACCUUGCUGACAAAUAUAAUAUUUCAGAGAUAACCAUUUAAAACAAUUUAAAAAACCAAUUUAAAACAGAUAAGGCUGUUAUGUCUUUCCGGAAAAAAAGGCUACUAUGUCUGCAACACAUUAUAUUUGGUCAUUUAAGAGUGUUUGUAUUUGUUCUUAACUUCUACUUCUAGUUAUUAAAAAAAAUAUCUAUAAUAUAUCCUUGUAAACAAUGUUUUUUGCAACCUUGUGGGAUGGACGCUCUUCAUCUGAUAUAAGUAUCCGCAAUCCAUUUCUGUUGGUAACCCUUGACAUUGCAACAUAGAGUUGGCCAUGUGUGAACACUUGCCUUUCUAAGUAGAGUCCAACCUUUUUGAGAGAUUGCCCCUGACUUUUGUUUAUUGUCAUAGCAAAGCACACUGAUAUUGGGUAUUGUCUCCUUUUCAGAAUGAAAGGCCAUUUUGAAUCACUUGGUGACAUAAUAAUUCAUGGGAUGUAAACUUUGUCACCAAUGUUAGCACCUGUUAUGACCUGGCCUUCGAUGAAACGCUUUCCUAGCUGUGUUAUUGUUAGUCUUGUCCCGUUGCAAAGUCCUGCACUUUGAUUGAUGUUCCUCAUAAGCAUUACUGGUAAUACUAUUUUCAACCUCAGUUCAUGAUCUGGUAUUCCAAAAAAUGUUAGACUAUUUAGAAAUUCAGUUGGGUACAACAUAUCUUCGUCUUCCACCAUAGACAUUGCCUUGCAUGUUGUAUCUGAACUGAGAUAGGUUACCUCUUCUCGAGGAAUUUGACUCAUGAUGUAGGUGUUAAUCUGGUCAACAGUCUCGUUCCUUGGGCACAGGAUCGCUCUUUCCUCUAGGUCUUCUGGGAUGCUAACCCAGUCUUCAUCAUCUAUUGUUGUUGUUGUGCCAUCGCCGAUGUUUAGUAUCCAGUUUGCAAAUUCUGUUGUCUUUGCUUUCUCUUCAGGACUACCUUCGAAUGAAUUCAGACGCAUAUUUUCUGUGAGUCGGUACUCCUCAAAGUUCUUCCAUAGGAUCAGUCACCUCGCAAAAUAAAAGUAUUGUGCAGAAAAGUUGGUGCAUUUGAGGAGCAAAGGCCAAAUGGGAUGCUUCCUUGAUGCAGUCAUUCCACUCCUUGUCGUCAUUAAGUAGCCCAAGAGCAUAACAUGCAGAUUUGUAUGUUGGAUGUACAACCCCAUCAACUGUUCGGAUAUCUUCAUAGGAUCUGCAUCCUUCCACGGUAUUUAGAAGCAUUCUCAAGUAGUAUUUUUCACCGCUUGUUGGUUGUGCAUAGUAAAUCCUGCCUAUGGUUUUUUUUACCACCACGUCUUUUCCUCCAUUCUUUCUCUUUUGCAUGCCAAGUCCAUUUGGUUGGAAACUGUGCAUACGUCAAACUGUGAGCUUCCUCAUGCAAUUGGUUGGCUGUCAUCCAUUCUGUGAACAUUGUCUUUUCUAUGUUAGGCCGAGAUAUGAUUUUAUCUAAAUCCAUAGAGUCUGGGAAUACCACAACAUGUUCAUUUUCUAGGUGAAAUUGUAACCUUUCAACCGCAGGCUCUCUAUACUGAAGAGGAAACUGAAAUAUGCGCUAUGCGGCUUCACAUCCAGAUAUGUACCGAGCAUCAAUGUAUCUCUUGAUUUCGUCGUCCCUGUUUGUUAAUUUGCCACCUCUUGUUUCUCCUUGUUGCUCUUCUGUUUCUAUUAAUACAGUUGUUCGAUCUUCUUCUUUGUGGAUGUAUUUGAAUAAAUACUUUAUAGACCUUGAUCUAUUGCACCAUUCAA